AGAGGUUUAGGUUAAUUUAGACCCAGGGCCUUCAAAGCCCUCAGUGGGAGUUGAAAUCUCUCAAGCUCUG
Molecule: transfer RNA, 70 nt
Filed under: Oxymonacanthus longirostris (harlequin filefish)
Lineage: Eukaryota; Metazoa; Chordata; Actinopteri; Tetraodontiformes; Monacanthidae
Description: tRNA-Trp
Rfam family: tRNA
About the family: Transfer RNA (tRNA) molecules are approximately 80 nucleotides in length. Their secondary structure includes four short double-helical elements and three loops (D, anti-codon, and T loops).
Source: RNAcentral